RNAcentral lists this ribosomal RNA (862 nucleotides) under uncultured organism. RNAcentral's name for it is "bacterial SSU rRNA". It matches the Rfam family "Bacterial small subunit ribosomal RNA", at positions 505 to 1353 of the family's 1533-position model. The record is from RNAcentral.
GUGCCAGCAGCCGCGGUAAGACGAAGGGUCCAAGCGUUAAUCGGAAUCACUGGGCUUAAAGCGUGCGCAGGCGGGCCUGUAAGUACCUUGUGAAAUACCACCGCUCAACGGUGGAAUGGCAGGGUAUACUGCAGGCCUUGAGGCCGGUAGAGGUUGCCGGAACUGUAGGUGUAGCGGUGAAAUGCGUAGAUAUCUACAGGAACACCAAAGACGAAGGUAGGCAACUGGGCCGGUUCUGACGCUCAGGCACGAAAGCGUGGGGAGCAAACAGGAUUAGAUACCCUGGUAGUCCACGCCGUAAACGAUGUGCACUAGAUUCGAGAGGCUCUGACGCCAUUCGGGUCGAAGCAAAAGUGUUAAGUGCACCGCCUGGGGAGUACGGUCGCAAGGCUAAAACUCAAAGGAAUUGACGGGGGCUCACACAAGCGGUGGAGCAUGUGGCUUAAUUCGAAGCAACGCGAAGAACCUUAUCCUGGGUUUGACAUGCACGGAUACCCUCGCCGAAAGGCGAGUAAGUUGCCCAUUCGGGUGAAACGUGCACAGGUGCUGCAUGGCUGUCGUCAGCUCGUGCUGUGAAGUGUUGGGUUAAGUCCCUUAACGAGCGAAACCCCUGUCGCUAGUUGCUAACAGGUCUCCGGACGCUGAGGACUCUAGCGAGACUGCCGGUGUCAAGCCGGAGGAAGGCGGGGAUGACGUCAAGUCCUCAUGGCCUUUAUGCCCAGGGCUGCACACGUGCUACAAUGGCGUGAACAGAGCGACGCAAUACCGUAAGGUGGAGCAAAUCGCAAAAAUCACGCCCCAGUUCGGAUCGAGGUCUGCAACUCGACCUCGGAAGGUGGAAUCGCUAGUAUCGCGCAUCAGC